CAUCAACUCAAACCUGACCAUAAAAUCCAGCACAUUCACCACCAGCCAGCCUUUUCCUCUUGCAAGUUCCCUCUCUCUCACUAGAGAGAGAGAGCUGUUUUUCUUUCUCUUUCUUUUGUCUAUUAAACCCCUGCUCCUAAACUCGUGUGUGUCCGUGUCCUAAACUCUCCUGGCACCAGAAGAACCCUGAUUAUUUACCCAGACAACUGUAGCUGCUUCAAAGGAAAGUGGAUUGUACAAGCACGCACAGUUCA
Molecule: long non-coding RNA, 254 nt
Filed under: Homo sapiens (human)
Lineage: Eukaryota; Metazoa; Chordata; Mammalia; Primates; Hominidae
Description: HSALNT0250542
Source: RNAcentral